Molecule: long non-coding RNA, 360 nt
Organism: Uranotaenia lowii
Lineage: Eukaryota; Metazoa; Arthropoda; Insecta; Diptera; Culicidae
Exons: 3
Source: RefSeq, a predicted model, not a curated record
UUAUAACUUUUUUUUUAGAAUUGAAUUAGAUCGAAAGGGAGGGAGCUUAAUCAGUUUGUGAAGUCGGUUACCAAUUCCUACAUCAAAUAAUAAACCUCUGAUGAUCGAUCUUCUUAUGACAACCUUUUCGGAUCAGCACGGCCAGGGUACCUGAACUUUCUUACUCCUAAGUUUUUCCCAGCCAAGCAACUGUUGCUGAUAACGUCGAUUCUAAUAUUCCGGAAUUUCGUGCCAUCACCACCGUUCGGCUUAAAAUUGUUUUAAACGCAUCACCGGCUCCAUAACAGCUCAACGGUGCAAAGAAAAGAUGGAAGAAGCCAAAUUUUGCUCCCUACUUUUGUCGGUGGAUGAAUCCCUCGA